AUCCAGCUAACGAGUCCCAUGUAGGACAAAACGCGCGUUCUGGAU
Non-coding RNA from Schistosoma rodhaini, 45 nucleotides. The record is from Rfam. Lineage: Eukaryota; Metazoa; Platyhelminthes; Trematoda; Strigeidida; Schistosomatidae.